Molecule: ribosomal RNA, 540 nt
Filed under: uncultured bacterium
Lineage: Bacteria
Description: bacterial SSU rRNA
Rfam family: Bacterial small subunit ribosomal RNA
Source: RNAcentral
UAGAGUUUGAUCCUGGCUCAGAACGAACGCUGGCGGCGUGCUUAACACAUGCAAGUCGAACGGGAUUAAGGGGCUUGCUCCUUAAUCUAGUGGCGCACGGGUGAGUAACGCGUGGAUAAUCUGCCCUGGUAACCUGGAUAACAUCUCGAAAGGGGUGCUAAUACGGGAUAAGCCCACGGGGACUUUGGUCCUUGCGGGAAAAGGUGGCCUCUGCAUAUGCUACCGAAUCAGGAUGAGUCCGCGUCCCAUUAGCUAGUUGGUGGGGUAAUGGCCUACCAAGGCAACGAUGGGUAGCUGGUCUGAGAGGAUGAUCAGCCACACUGGAACUGAGACACGGUCCAGACUCCUACGGGAGGCAGCAGUGGGGAAUUUUGCGCAAUGGGGGAAACCCUGACGCAGCAACGCCGCGUGAGUGAUGAAGGCCUUCGGGUCGUAAAGCUCUGACAGAGGGAAAGAAGUGUAUGAGGGCUAAUACCCCUUUUACUUGACGGUACCCUCAAAGGAAGCACCGGCUAACUCCGUGCCAGCAGCCCCGGUCAA